RNAcentral lists this long non-coding RNA (1090 nucleotides) under Homo sapiens (human). RNAcentral's name for it is "HSALNT0264492". The record is from RNAcentral. Lineage: Eukaryota; Metazoa; Chordata; Mammalia; Primates; Hominidae.
CGGGAACCCGGGCUUGGAGAAGGCGGGGAGGGUGGAGGAGAGCCAGCACUCCCGCAUCUCUGAGAGGCCACUUCGUCCUUGUCCCACGAACUGCAGUUUUUCUCUCUGGGUCAUUCAUCAAUGAAUGUAUUAAGCAUUUAUUGAACACUUGCACUGGCAGAGUGGAUGUGCGGGAUACAGGGCAUCCUCCGGUAAUAGAGGGCCGAUUGCAUUUGGCUUUGGGGCUCCUUUUUAGGCACUGAUGCCAGCCCUCUCUCUAACAGAUAAGGAGGGUGCAUAAAUAGAGGUCUCGUAAUACCUAACGACUACACUCUUCAGUGAUCUGGGGAAGGAGAGUAGCUGCUGGUUGGGUUGAUCAUGGAAACUUCGUUGAGAAGCGAAAAAGAGGAAAGGUGAACACGAAGGCAUAAGUGGCAAAAAAAAAAAAAAAAAUCAAACAGCAUAUGAAUCCAUGCAUCCUGUCGGGGACAAGUUUAAUCUGAGUGUAUUGUUCUUAGUGAAAGAUGAAAACGGCGGCCGGAAAGCUGAAGACCUUAGUAGAAAAAUGCUGACUUCCCCUAAGCAAGAAGGAAUUCUGGCAGCAAACAGCCAUUGACUUGCAGCCUUUUCCCUAGACCUGCAGCCCGCCUACCUACUCUGAAGAUUUUGGAGUUGCCAAGCCUCCACAACCAUAUAAGCCAAUACCUUUCUCUCUCUUUCUCUCUUUUCUCUCUCUUAAACUGCAAAAAGCAAACAAACAAACAAACAAACAGACAGCAGGUUCAAAAUGGAGUCACUCAUACUAGUGUCACAUAACCAAACCAAAACUUGCGUUAUUUACUUGCAAGAUUUGACCUUGUGAGAAAUCAGAAGAGAGAUAACAGUGGAAUCCAACUAGGCCAACAAGAUUUUGCUUACAUCUGUAGAAGAAAAGUAACCUUGAAAUGACCAACCCUCUAUUUGUUCUUUAUUUCUGCUUUUCUCUUCUUUUUUCUGCCCAUAAAACUCACCCACUCUGUUUAGCUCAUCAGAGUUUCUUUCUACUUUGUAGACUGGAUGCUGCCCAGUUCAUGAAUCGCUAAUAAAAGCCAAUCAGAUAUUUGAAACUCAA